RNAcentral lists this ribosomal RNA (459 nucleotides) under uncultured bacterium. Its description in RNAcentral is "partial 16S ribosomal RNA". It matches the Rfam family "Bacterial small subunit ribosomal RNA", at positions 338 to 795 of the family's 1533-position model. The record is from RNAcentral.
CCUACGGGAGGCAGCAGUGAGGAAUAUUGGUCAAUGGGAGAGAUCCUGAACCAGCCAAGCCGCGUGAGGGAAGACGGCCCUAUGGGUUGUAAACCUCUUUUGUCGGAGAACAAAACCCGGGACGUGUCCCGGACUGCGUGUAUCCGAAGAAAAAGCAUCGGCUAACGCCGUGCCAGCAGCCGCGGUAAUACGGAGGAUGCGAGCGUUAUCCGGAUUUAUUGGGUUUAAAGGGUGCGUAGGCGGUCCGUUAAGUCAGCGGGAAAAUUGCGGGGCUCAACCCCGUCGAGCCGUUGAAACUGGCAGACUUGAGUUGGCGAGAAGUACGCGGAAUGUGCGGUGUAGCGGUGAAAUGCAUAGAUAUCGCGCAGAACUCCGAUUGCGAAGGCAGCGUACCGGCGCCAGACUGACGCUGAGGCACGAAAGCGUGGGGAUCGAACAGGAUUAGAUACCCGAGUAGUC